AAUAGAUCCCAGGUAGUCCUAGCUGUAAACGAUGAGCACUUGGUUGGGGAUCCUCCCAUAGGUUCCCGACCGUAGCGAAAGUGUUAAGUGCUCCGCCUGGGGGAGUAUGGUCGCAAGGCUGAAACUCAAAGGAAUUGACGGGGGGCUCACACAAGCGGUGGAGGAUGUGGCUUAAUUCGAGGCUACGCGAAGAACCUUAUCCAGGCCUUGACUACAACGGAUUAACCCGCCGAAAGGCGGGCCACGCCUUCGGGUGGAACGUUGAACAGGUGCUGCAUGGCCGCCGUCAGCUCGUGUCGUGAGAUGUCGGGUUAAGUCCCUUAACGAGCGCAACCCUUGUUGCUAGUUGCCAGCGAGUCAUGUCGGGGACUCUAGCAAGACUGCCGGUGUUAAACCGGAGGAAGGUGGGGAUGACGUCAAGUCCUCAUGGCCUUUAUGGCCUGGGCUGCACACGUCCUACAAUGGCGUCUACAAAGGGAAGCAAGCUCGCGAGAGUAAGCAAAUCCCAAAAAGGACGCCUCAGUACGGAUUGCAGGCUGCAACGUCG
RNAcentral lists this ribosomal RNA (547 nucleotides) under uncultured bacterium. Its description in RNAcentral is "bacterial SSU rRNA". It matches the Rfam family "Bacterial small subunit ribosomal RNA", at positions 777 to 1314 of the family's 1533-position model. The record is from RNAcentral.